This is a long non-coding RNA of Patella vulgata (common limpet), 1921 nucleotides long. RefSeq lists it as uncharacterized. The record is from RefSeq and is a predicted model, not a curated record. Lineage: Eukaryota; Metazoa; Mollusca; Gastropoda; Patellidae. The transcript has 4 exons.
AAGCUUGUAUUAGAAGUGGGAUGAGGUGUGUGGUGGAUUUCUAUCAUUUCGCCCUUUUUAUACGCCUACAUUAAAUUCACGUAAACACUCUAUAUAGGGGUAUAUUUGCAAUGAUACCCUUUUGUAUGCGGAAUUGAUUAUAAGAGGACGUAUUACCCUUUAGACGCUAUAUAUAGACAUACUCAGAGAAUGAGUUGCAAACGUAUUGACAGAGCAGCGGGCGCGACUUCGACGCACUAAGAGCACAUAGUGCUGUGGAAGUGUAGUGACAAGAACGUACUGUAAGCUACGCUUUGGCGAAAUUUUCGGAGCCAAAAGUUCCCAGCAUUCUCUGUAGAAGUCAGAGGUUGGAGGAUUUUUAUACAACACCAUAGAAGGACUUUGUCUACUAGACACAAAUUAUCACUUGUCUACUAGUCACAGCUUAUCACAUCAAUAUUAUGCGGUGUUAAUUCCUAGUGACCAACACCGAAAAAUGAAAUGAAAUGACAUUUUUCCCGGACAGCGGCACUACGGCCUACUCUUAUAUCGAAUUCCAACUCUCAAGGGAUCUUUUACGUGCACACCAAUGUGUACACGGGACCUCGGUUUUUCGUACCUGUCCACCCGAAUGACUAGACAGCUGUCCUUGUCAGGAACCGCACCGGAAAAUCUGGAUGAACUUUCUCGGCCAAUGCAGGGAUCGAACACCCGACCUCCAGGCUAGCGAGCCAGCGUCUUACCCACUUAGCUACCGUGCCCCUCCCCCAUAGUUCAAAGUUCAUUACUACAGCCGAUGGAGUUUCACACGGCCAGUGUAUGUGGAUAUUUCAUCGAUUUAUGGACGAUUUGGAUUCAAGACUUUGGUGGCCAUUCUCCUACAAGUAUGGUCAAAAGAAAGCUGUACGAUCGUGUUACAAGUGAUGCAAACCGCGCCUUUGAAUGACAUUUUAUAAAUGUGCUGCAUAUGUAACCACGCUCAUCAUCAUUUGAUUUCAGAAAUAAACAAACAAAAUCUAUGUGAUGUAAAAAUAUUUAAAACAAUGAAAGACUGUGUAUCAAAUAUAAAAUGUAGAUAAAUGAUUCAGAUUACUGGUUCGUUCGUUCUUGUUUUUGUGCCCAUCCCUCCUCCACUGUCCGCUCUGAGUUUCCAGACUAUUACUAAUUUCUAACCGUUGUGUGUUCUGAUCAAUGUGUGUUCUGAUGGCAACUAUACCUGUACAGCUAGUAAUAAUAUUGGUCAACCAGUAUCUAAAACCAUUCCACUCUAUGUUAGAUGUUCUCCAAGAGAGAACACAAUGACCAAGAGAUUCAUCACUAAUAGAAUAAAUACAACAAUAAAUCUAGAAGUUGAUAUAAUCGCCUACCCUCGACCAACCUUCACCUGGCACCAUGCACCUACAAGACAGAUAAUAAACACAGCCAUAACAAAACAACUAUCAACUAUAAACUAUAAAUCAACAGUAGAAAUAACUCUAACCUCUACUCUAUUUGGUGAUUAUAUAGUAUCUGUAACAAAUGAUAUUGGUGUUCAGAACUUCACUAUUACAGUCAUUAAUGGAGAACCUCCAAAGCCAGUAAAGGAUCCAGUCGGAAGUAAUAACACAUCUACUAUAGUUGGAAGUAUUAUUGGUGUAUUGAUAGUUAUUGCUAUAAUAGUUGUUAUUGUUGUGAUAAUAUAUCGUUAAAAGGCGUCAAAAGCUAAUUAUAAUACGUACGAUGGACUUGGAGUUGUCCCCAGUUCAACCAGUCAACCUGUUUAUGAUGAAAUGAAUUCCUAUACAACUAGAUCUAAUGAUACAACAGCACGUGCAGAUCAAACUGCGAUUGCAGGAUCAUUGUGUCAGUCCAGUGUAUGUCAACUCUGUACCACUGUAUCAACGUAUCAUGUUGAAAACAUUGAAUGGAGCUGCUAAUCGUUUUUUUUUUAUAUAUUUGUCUG